RNAcentral lists this ribosomal RNA (219 nucleotides) under Neisseria arctica. RNAcentral's name for it is "partial 16S ribosomal RNA". It matches the Rfam family "Bacterial small subunit ribosomal RNA", at positions 72 to 291 of the family's 1533-position model. The record is from RNAcentral. Lineage: Bacteria; Pseudomonadati; Pseudomonadota; Betaproteobacteria; Neisseriales; Neisseriaceae.
GAAAGAGCUUGCUCUUUUGGUGGCGAGUGGCGAACGGGUGAGUAAUACAGUGGAACGUACCGAGUAAUGGGGGAUAACUGUCCGAAAGGAUGGCUAAUACCGCAUACGCUCUGAGGAGGAAAGCGGGGGACCUUCGGGCCUCGCGUUAUUCGAGCGGCCAAUGUUUGAUUAGCUAGUUGGUGGGGUAAAGGCCUACCAAGGCGACGAUCAGUAGUGGGU